GACGAACGCUGGCGGCGUGCUUAACACAUGCAAGUCGAACGGAAAGGCCCUGCUUUUGUGGGGUGCUCGAGUGGCGAACGGGUGAGUAACACGUGAGUAACCUGCCCUUGACUUUGGGAUAACUUCAGGAAACUGGGGCUAAUACCGGAUAGGAGCUCCUGCUGCAUGGUGGGGGGUGGAAAGGUUCGGCGGUUGGGGGUGGACUCGCGGCUUAUCAGCUUGUUGGUGGGGUAGUGGCUUACCAAGGCUUUGACGGGUAGCCGGCCUGAGAGGGUGACCGGCCACAUUGGGACUGAGAUACGGCCCAGACUCCUACGGGAGGCAGCAGUGGGGAAUAUUGCGCAAUGGGCGGAAGCCUGAUGCAGCAACGCCGCGUGCGGGAUGACGGCCUUCGGGUUGUAAACCGCUUUCGCCUGUGACGAAGCGUGAGUGACGGUAAUGGGUAAAGAAGCACCGACUAACUACGUG
RNAcentral lists this ribosomal RNA (468 nucleotides) under uncultured bacterium. RNAcentral's name for it is "partial 16S ribosomal RNA". It matches the Rfam family "Bacterial small subunit ribosomal RNA", at positions 28 to 507 of the family's 1533-position model. The record is from RNAcentral.